This 440-nucleotide ribosomal RNA is filed under the name uncultured bacterium. Its description in RNAcentral is "partial 16S ribosomal RNA". It matches the Rfam family "Bacterial small subunit ribosomal RNA", at positions 338 to 795 of the family's 1533-position model. The record is from RNAcentral.
CCUACGGGUGGCAGCAGUAGGGAAUAUUGCUCAAUGGGGGAAACCCUGAAGCAGCAACGCCGCGUGGAGGAUGAAGGUUUUCGGAUUGUAAACUCCUGUUAUCAGGGAAGAUAAUGACGGUAUCUAACGAGUAAGCACCGGCUAACUCCGUGCCAGCAGCCGCGGUAAUACGGAGGGUGCAAGCGUUACUCGGAAUCACUGGGCGUAAAGAGCGCGUAGGCGGGAUAGCAAGUCAGAUGUGAAAUCCUAGGGCUUAACCAGAGAACUGCAUUUGAAACUGUAAUUCUAGAGUAUGGGAGAGGUAAGUGGAAUUCUUGGUGUAGGGGUAAAAUCCGUAGAGAUCAAGAGGAAUACUCAUUGCGAAGGCGACCAGCUAGAACAUAACUGACGCUGAUGCGCGAAAGCGUGGGGAGCAAACAGGAUUAGAUACCCGAGUAGUC